AGUGAACGCUGGCGGUAGGCCUAACACAUGCAAGUCGAACGGCAGCACAGGAGAGCUUGCUCUCUGGGUGGCGAGUGGCGGACGGGUGAGGAAUACAUCGGAAUCUACUCUGUCGUGUGGGAUAACGUAGGGAAACUUACGCUAAUACCGCAUACGACCUACGGGUGAAAGCAGGGGACCUUCGGGCCUUGCGCGAUGGCAUGAGCCGAUGUCGGAUUAGCUAGUUGGCGGGGUAAAGGCCCACCAAGGCGACGAUCCGUAGCUGGUCUGAGAGGAUGGUCAGCCACACUGGAACUGAGACACGGUCCAGACUCCUACGGGAGGCAGCAGUGGGGAAUAUUGGACAAUGGGCGCAAGCCUGAUCCAGCCAUACCGCGUGGGUGAAGAAGGCCUUCGGGUUGUAAAGCCCUUUUGUUGGGAAAGAAAUCCAGCUGGCUAAUACCCGGUUGGGAUGACGGUACCCAAAGAAUAAGCACCGGCUAACUUCGUGCCAGCCGCCGCUGUAA
This 506-nucleotide ribosomal RNA is filed under the name uncultured bacterium. RNAcentral's name for it is "partial 16S ribosomal RNA". It matches the Rfam family "Bacterial small subunit ribosomal RNA", at positions 29 to 523 of the family's 1533-position model. The record is from RNAcentral.